AGUGAACGCUGGCGGUAGGCCUAACACAUGCAAGUCGAACGGCAGCACAGUAAGAGCUUGCUCUUACGGGUGGCGAGUGGCGGACGGGUGAGGAAUACAUCGGAAUCUACUUUUUCGUGGGGGAUAACGUAGGGAAACUUACGCUAAUACCGCAUACGACCUACGGGUGAAAGCAGGGGAUCUUGGGACCUUGCGCGAUUGAAUGAGCCGAUGUCGGAUUAGCUAGUUGGCGGGGUAAAGGCCCACCAAGGCGACGAUCCGUAGCUGGUCUGAGAGGAUGAUCAGCCACACUGGAACUGAGACACGGUCCAGACUCCUACGGGAGGCAGCAGUGGGGAAUAUUGGACAAUGGGCGCAAGCCUGAUCCAGCCAUACCGCGUGGGUGAAGAAGGCCUUCGGGUUGUAAAGCCCUUUUGUUGGGAAAGAAAAGCAGCAGGUUAAUACCCCGCUGUUCUGACGGUACCCAAAGAAUAAGCACCGGCUAACUUCGUG
RNAcentral lists this ribosomal RNA (492 nucleotides) under uncultured bacterium. RNAcentral's name for it is "partial 16S ribosomal RNA". It matches the Rfam family "Bacterial small subunit ribosomal RNA", at positions 29 to 507 of the family's 1533-position model. The record is from RNAcentral.